This 570-nucleotide ribosomal RNA is filed under the name Triticum aestivum (bread wheat). Its description in RNAcentral is "partial small subunit ribosomal RNA". Lineage: Eukaryota; Viridiplantae; Streptophyta; Magnoliopsida; Poales; Poaceae. The record is from RNAcentral.
AUGUUCAUCACACAUUUCAUCUCAGAGUUAGAGCAAGAGAAGAACAAAGUUCAGAACCAGGUGAUCCGACAAAAGACUACAGGACUGAGAAGGUGGAUUCCGGCACCGCCGGGCUGCGCCAAGAUCAAUGUGGACGCCGCGGUUUCUCGAGGAGUGGGUGCAGUCGCGGCUGUGUGUAGGAACAACAAUGGAGACUAUCUUGGAUCUUCGGCGUUCGUCGUUCGAGGCUUGAUAGAUCCGCCUACUCUAGAGGCUAUUGCAUGCAGAGAAGGUUUAUCUCUGGCUGAAGAUUUGGGGCUGCAGAAUAUAGUGAUUGCGUCGGACUGUCAAGAAGUAGUGAAGCACAUCAUGGAAAAAUCAGGUGGAAACUAUGGUGGAGUGGUGAAAGAAAUAACUUCGUGGCAAUCUUUGUUUAGUUCUUGUUCUUUUAAGUUUGAAUCAAGAGUCUCAAAUUUUGAGCCUCACAAGUUAGCUAGGCAUGCUGUAAAGUUGGUUCAUGGCCGACAUAUUUGGCUGGGGCUACCACAUGACAUUUCUGUAAUACCGGUAGCAAUACCAACUCAUGAAUAA